GAUGAAGAACGUAGCGAAAUGCGAUAAGUAAUGUGAAUUGCAGAAUUCAGUGAAUCAUCGAAUCUUUGAACGCACAUUGCGCCCGCCAGUAUUCUGGCGGGCAUGCCUGUCCGAGCGUCAUUACAACCCUCAGGCCCCCGGGCCUGGCGUUGGGGAUCGGCGGAAGCCCCCUGCGGGCACAACGCCGUCCCCCAAAUACAGUGGCGGUCCCGCCGCAGCUUCCAUUGCGUAGUAGCUAACACCUCGCAACUGGAGAGCGGCGCGGCCACGCCGUAAAACACCCAACUUCUGAAUGUUGACCUCGAAUCAGGUAGGAAUACCCGCUGAACUUAAGCAUAUCAAUAAGCGGAGGA
Molecule: unclassified non-coding RNA, 353 nt
Filed under: soil metagenome
Description: partial contains 5.8S ribosomal RNA, internal transcribed spacer 2, and large subunit ribosomal RNA
Rfam family: 5.8S ribosomal RNA (bases 1-120)
Source: RNAcentral